AUACAUGCAAGUCGAACGAACUCUGGUAUUGAUUGGUGCUUGCAUCAUGAUUUACAUUUGAGUGAGUGGCGAACUGGUGAGUAACACGUGGGAAACCUGCCCAGAAGCGGGGGAUAACACCUGGAAACAGAUGCUAAUACCGCAUAACAACUUGGACCGCAUGGUCCGAGUUUGAAAGAUGGCUUCGGCUAUCACUUUUGGAUGGUCCCGCGGCGUAUUAGCUAGAUGGUGGGGUAACGGCUCACCAUGGCAAUGAUACGUAGCCGACCUGAGAGGGUAAUCGGCCACAUUGGGACUGAGACACGGCCCAAACUCCUACGGGAGGCAGCAGUAGGGAAUCUUCCACAAUGGACGAAAGUCUGAUGGAGCAACGCCGCGUGAGUGAAGAAGGGUUUCGGCUCGUAAAACUCUGUUGUUAAAGAAGAACAUAUCUGAGAGUAACUGUUCAGGUAUUGACGGUAUUUAACCAGAAAGCCACGGCUAACUACGUGCCAGCAGCCGCGGUAAUACGUAGGUGGCAAGCGUUGUCCGGAUUUAUUGGGCGUAAAGCGAGCGCAGGCGGUUUUUUAAGUCUGAUGUGAAAGCCUUCGGCUCAACCGAAGAAGUGCAUCGGAAACUGGGAAACUUGAGUGCAGAAGAGGACAGUGGAACUCCAUGUGUAGCGGUGAAAUGCGUAGAUAUAUGGAAGAACACCAGUGGCGAAGGCGGCUGUCUGGUCUGUAACUGACGCUGAGGCUCGAAAGUAUGGGUAGCAAACAGGAUUAGAUACCCUGGUAGUCCAUACCGUAAACGAUGAAUGCUAAGUGUUGGAGGGUUUCCGCCCUUCAGUGCUGCAGCUAACGCAUUAAGCAUUCCGCCUGGGGAGUACGGCCGCAAGGCUGAAACUCAAAGGAAUUGACGGGGGCCCGCACAAGCGGUGGAGCAUGUGGUUUAAUUCGAAGCUACGCGAAGAACCUUACCAGGUCUUGACAUACUAUGCAAAUCUAAGAGAUUAGACGUUCCCUUCGGGGACAUGGAUACAGGUGGUGCAUGGUUGUCGUCAGCUCGUGUCGUGAGAUGUUGGGUUAAGUCCCGCAACGAGCGCAACCCUUAUUAUCAGUUGCCAGCAUUAAGUUGGGCACUCUGGUGAGACUGCCGGUGACAAACCGGAGGAAGGUGGGGAUGACGUCAAAUCAUCAUGCCCCUUAUGACCUGGGCUACACACGUGCUACAAUGGAUGGUACAACGAGUUGCGAACUCGCGAGAGUAAGCUAAUCUCUUAAAGCCAUUCUCAGUUCGGAUUGUAGGCUGCAACUCGCCUACAUGAAGUCGGAAUCGCUAGUAAUCGCGGAUCAGCAUGCCGCGGUGAAUACGUUCCCGGGCCUUGUACACACCGCCCGUCACACCAUGAGAGUUUGUAACACCCAAAGUCGGU
This 1414-nucleotide ribosomal RNA is filed under the name Lactiplantibacillus pentosus. Its description in RNAcentral is "bacterial SSU rRNA". It matches the Rfam family "Bacterial small subunit ribosomal RNA". Lineage: Bacteria; Bacillati; Bacillota; Bacilli; Lactobacillales; Lactobacillaceae. The record is from RNAcentral.